AAAGGAAAAAGGCUCCGGCGAGUGCGUAAAAAAACUCCUGGCCGCGGCGACGGAUGCGCCAAAGCUCGCCUGUUGUUCCGAGUGACUUUGCUGCGCGGCGCCGGAGCCCCGGAGGCUGUGCGGGAGCGCCCGAGAGGGACGGGGCCGGCCUUGGCGAGCCGGGACGGCGGCAGUGACGGUGGAAGCCCCCCCCCCUCGGCUCCCGGGGGACUCCGGACUCUUCUUCCUCCUCCUCCCGCUGCGCCUGAGGUUCCUUCGCCCGUUUGCCGCCCUCGCCGAAGCCAACCUGUCGCGGAGCUGCGGGUCAGCAGGAGCCGGAGAGGCGCCCCGGCGGGAGCCGCCUGCAGGGAACCGGGCCGGCCGCCUCCCCGCCUCGCUGAUGGAAGUCGUGGGCCGGUCCUGGCAGCGCUGGAGCCUGCGCGCCCCGUCCUAAGAGGCCUCCGCCGCCGCCGCGGGCCGCCGCUCCCCCAGCCCGCCUGCCGCCGCGGCUCCCCCGCCUGAAGGGGGGAGGGGAGAAGAAGCGCCAGAAGACCCCCGAGAUCCCCCCCACCACCACCCCUCGUCCGGCGGCCCGUCUCUUCCUCGCCUCCCGUCGCCGGCCAGCAGCAGGAGGACCGUGGUCGCCUCGCCCGGUUUAUACUUCUUUGGCUCUGGAGCAGCGGAGGGGUGGAGGGGGGCAGGCGGCGGCGGCGGCGGCGGGGGCGGCGCAGGAGGCGGCGGCGGGGCGGCCAUGCAGGCGCGCUAUCCGGUCUCCGGCCCCAACUCGCUGGGCGUGGUGCCCUACCUGGGCGGCGAGCAGAGCUACUACCGGGCGGCGGGCGGGGGCUACGCGGCCAUGCCGGCGCCGAUGAGCAUGUACCCGGCCCCCCCCGGGGCGCAUGAGGCCUACGCGGGCGGCGGCGGCGGCGGCGUGGGCGGCGGCGGCGGGCCGGGGGGCGGGCGGGCGUACGGGCCGUACCCGUCGGUGGCGGCGCCGCAGCCCAAGGACCUGGUGAAGCCGCCCUACUCGUACAUCGCGCUGAUCACCAUGGCCAUCCAGCAGGCGCCCGACAAGCGCAUCACCCUGAACGGCAUCUACCAGUUCAUCAUGGAGCGCUUCCCCUUCUACCGCGACAACAAGCAGGGCUGGCAGAACUCCAUCCGCCACAACCUCUCGCUCAACGAGUGCUUCGUCAAGGUGCCCCGCGACGACAAGAAGCCCGGCAAGGGCAGCUACUGGACCCUCGACCCGGACUCCUACAACAUGUUCGAGAACGGCUCCUUCCUCCGACGCCGACGCCGCUUCAAGAAGAAGGACGCCGCCGCCGCCACCGGCACCGGCAAGGACAAGGGCGACGACCCCGACCGCCCCCUCCAGCCCCAGGCCGCCGCCCGACGCCCCAGCCCCCCCGGCGGCGCCCCGAACGCCGCCCCCGCCCCGGAGCCCGCCCCGGCGCCCACCCCCCUCCGCCUGCAGGACAUCAAGACCGAGAACGGCGCCGCCGCCGCCUCGCCCCCGCCUGCCCCCUCCCCGCGGGGGGUUCUCGCGCCCCUGCCCAAGAGCGAGAGCCCCCCCAGCGCCAGCCCCGCGGGCAGCCCCCAGGCGGCGGGCGGCAGGGCGCUGGGCCUGGACCCCGGCUCGGCCGAGGCGCACCAGCAGCACCACCCGCACCCGCACCCCUCGGCCGGCUUCAGCGUGGACAACAUCAUCCUCAGCUCCCUGCGCGCCUCGCCCCAGGGCGCCGCCGAGCAACAGCAGCUACCACUGCAACUUGCAAGCCAUGAGCCUCUACGCAGCAGCAGCAGCAGCCGCAGCAGCCGCCGCCGCGGGGGGAGGCGGCGGGCCCGAGAGAGGGGGCGGCGGGGGGGCGCUGGGGGGCAGCCCGGUGGAGCAGGAGCCGCUGCCCGACUACAGCCUGGCGGCCAGCAGCGGCGGCAGCAGCAGCAGCAGCGCGUCGUCGCUCAGCCUGAGCCCCCCGGAGGGCCACUCGCAGGGCGGCGGCCGCCUGGCCUCCUGGUACCUCAACCAGGCCACGGCCGUGGGCGAGUUGGCCCACUUGGCCGCCGCCGCCUCCUCCUCGGCCUCGCCGGCCGCCUACCCGGGCCAGCAGCAGAACUUCCACGCCGUGCGCGACAUGUUCGAGUCCUCGCAGCGCCUGGGCCUGGCCGGCUCGCCCCUGGGCGCCAACGGCCCCGCCAGCAGCUGCCAGAUGGCCUUCCCCGGCGGCCAGGCCCUCUACCGACCGCCCGGCCAUGCCUUCGUCUACGACUGCAGCAAGUUCUGAGCCGGCCCGACUCCGCUCCCGGCCCGGCCCGGCCCCGCUCGCAGGAUGUCCUGCGCAGAGAGCCUUCACCUUCCUCCUCCUCCUCCUCCUCCUCCUCCGCCGCCGCCUUUUCUUCUGGUUUGUUGACGGACCGAGUGGCUGCCCGGGACGCCUCCGUUUGCUUUUGAGAUGCGCGCCCUUCGGUGCCCCCCUUUUUGGCUGCCCGCCGCCGCGCCGGAGCCCGCGGGGAUUGUCAGCCGCCCGAGGGAGGAGGAUUCUGUGCCCGGGUCCAGAAGAAACGAGUCCGCGGAACUCAAUGGGAUUUUGCUUCCAAGAAAGUCUGCAAAGGAUAGCAGCCCUAGACAUUAACUUGGGUAAAGAAGUGGACGCUGAGGGGAGGCCUGGGAGAAAAAGGAACAUUUUCCAGAAUGAGCCGAUCUUCUUUCCUUCUCCUGGGCUUUCCUUGUCACCCAGCGAUUGGUUGUAAGGAGCUUUAUGUUUCAAUUUAUUCGCCUCAAUCCAUACAUCAGCAACAGUUGGACCGACAUUUCAGUUCGAUGUGAAGUCAGGAGCAAAUUUGUGGAAGGAAAAUAGGCCUGCCUGCGUUGCAAACAUACCUUGUUCUUCAAUUGCACGGGGUUGGGAAUCCAUUUGUGAAUAAGCUGAAGACUGAGAUCCUAAACAUUUUCUCCGGCAAACAUGUCCCCUUGAAGCGAAUGAGGCACCCUUCGUAGUAAACAGGGGCAGGACUGGCAAUGGUGCCUGAACUUGUGUGGGUAGCGGCAGCCGUGUUUCAGACAGAUCCUGACUUUCUGUGGGAUUUCUUCUGAUUUGACCGCCUCCGUGUUUAUUGACUUGAGUCCUGGGGGCCUAGUUCGCCACCCCUUCUUUUUGAUUGUAGUUGACAGUGUACUUUUCCAAGGAAGAGCGCAGAUUCUGGCACAAAGGUCGUGCAAAGCGCCAAGCUUCUUAAAGCCGAGCCGGCGUUUUGGAGAACCAUCGGCUACAAUGCGAGUGCGCUCCUUGGCGUCGAUGGGACUUCAUCCAUUUGACUGGAGCUGGAUGGUGCUCUUUGUGUAUUUGUCAGCGGUUGGAGAAGGGAAGGCACAGGAGGAGAGAGAGAGAGAAAGAAAGGUGUGCGCGCGUAGUGGUUUCAGCCGUAUUUUUUAAAAAACCAGACUGCUUCUGAUCAGUGCGGGGGGGGGGGAAUACCAGGCGUCGCUCAGAACUUUGUGGGGGCUUUCUCACGCAUGAGAUUUAAGCCUCCCCCCCCCUCCCCCAAAUCCCUAAUUUCCCCGAAGGUUACAAACAGGAAUUUUAAUAACUGAUUUCAGCCGGGCCCUCGAUGUCUCUUCGAUACUUGCGGUAGGAGGUCGAGGGAAAUAGGGGCGGCUUUUUGGUGUGUGUGUGUGGGGCUGGCUGCUGGAUGGUUUCUUGGAUUUCCACAGGCAAAAGGGACUUCCUGCUUCCCAAAAGUUUCUCCAGUUUCUCCGCGGGAUCAGAGGCCUCGACAAAAGAGAUAGUUGGAUGGGGAAGGGGACAGAGUGCAGGAAGAGAAAACGCUAAACGAAGUGAGUCAACUGAAAUGUAUUUGCAUCCAAGCCGCUCUACAGUUGGGGCCUAAGCAGGCGUUACUCGGAAGCAAGGCUCACUGUAGUGUAGCCAGUGGGAUCUUUACUUCCAGAUAAGAGUGCGGAGGAGGAGCGCAGUUUCAGAUCCUUUGGCUGACGCACGGCUGCAAAUCAUUCCGGACACGCAGACUCGGAAGUGAGUCGUUCAGUGAAAUCCGCUAGGAUCCGGCUGUGGGCCGCCCUGCGCGCUCAAGGCUUCCGUGCCCAGGGUCUCCAAGCACCUUCCGCCCACUCAUGGGGAAGCAUCCUGUGCUUCCUUGGGAGUAACGCCUAUUGUAGGCAGGAGGACUUGGAAACCAGCACAGGAUCGAGCUCUGUUGCAAGCACUCCUGAGCGGUCUUCGUCGGCAUAGAGGGAAACUGGAGGGUCUUCUAUGUUUGGGAUCGGGCAGUGUCCGGGUCUGUUACUUGUGCGUGGCUGUGGUUUGCACCAGGAUCCUAAGUAAAUCUAGUUGCAGAUGUCUUCCAUUGGUUUCAGUAGGAAUCUCCUCUUAGUGAGGACGUAUAUUUAUGUGGUCCCCUGUCGGUCCCUCCCCACCCCCAGGUUUUGUUCCAGUCGAAAUAUGGCGGUGUCGUUUAGCCUACCCAGCAGGUCGAGCCAAAGGGGUCGCUCAGGUUUUGGACUCCAGGGGGCUGCUGAAGCCCGUUGUGCCUGGCUCAUCUGGACCGAGCCUCCCGACAGCUUGGCCUGGCCUCUCUCUUUCUUUCUCCACUGGGACGGGUGACUUCCGCGCUCCCAGACUGUGUCUUCCUCUCCAUUUAGUGAUGGGCUGGGAGUGGGACUCUUUGGGAGGU
This is an RNA transcript of Sphaerodactylus townsendi, 4668 nucleotides long. It is a transcript of the gene named forkhead box C1, with no coding region annotated. The transcript is spliced from 3 exons. Lineage: Eukaryota; Metazoa; Chordata; Lepidosauria; Squamata; Sphaerodactylidae. The record is from RefSeq and is a predicted model, not a curated record.